This 257-nucleotide long non-coding RNA is filed under the name Rhinopithecus bieti (black snub-nosed monkey). RNAcentral describes it as "lncRNA (ENSRBIG00000045425.1)". Lineage: Eukaryota; Metazoa; Chordata; Mammalia; Primates; Cercopithecidae. The record is from RNAcentral.
CUUCUGGCCAUCCUAGGAAAAAAAAAAUGAUUGUACGGCCCAUGGGCUGGAUUAAGGACCGGACCUAGAACUAAGGAGGAAAUACUGCAAGAAGGAUGCCCAUGGCACUUUGAAUGUUCCGGAUCCACCAAUAUCAGAAAGGUGCAGAGUGAUUGGACUCCAAAAUGAACCAUCAAGCCCACAGGCAAGCUUAGUACAGAAGACAGGCCUGCUUUCCAGGAUAGUAGUUAAGCUUUUCUCUUCUGAAUCAAAUAUCA